GCUGCCACGUGCAUAGACAAUCCAUUUGACUUAGAGGAGGCUACAAGGUCCUCUCCUUAUCACAUGGCCAUUGAUCAGAAGCACACUGGUGGACUGAUAGAUAUUCUAAGAUCUAAUAAGCUGUUUUCUAGGAACUAUUUCAAGGCAAAGCAAAAGGGUUUGACAUGGAGAAGGCUUUAUUGGCAAAGUCUAUUCAUGAUUUUGAAAAAGCAAUAUCUAUGGUAUCUUAGCACAAGAGAUGUGGUUGGGAAUGUGAGCAAGCAAAGAAGAUUUAUAAAACUCAAUGUUUUAUGUUGAAUAAAUAUAUGAUGUACUCUUCUAUAUAAUGCAGAUUUGUUGUAUUAUGUUC
Quercus lobata is the source of this 349-nucleotide long non-coding RNA. RefSeq lists it as uncharacterized. NCBI's taxonomy places the organism in Eukaryota, Viridiplantae, Streptophyta, Magnoliopsida, Fagales, Fagaceae. The transcript is spliced from 2 exons. The record is from RefSeq and is a predicted model, not a curated record.